AAAUUGAAGAGUUUGAUCAUGGCUCAGAUUGAACGCUGGCGGCAGGCCUAACACAUGCAAGUCGAGCGGUAACACAGAGGAGCUUGCUCCUUGGGUGACGAGCGGCGGACGGGUGAGUAAUGCCUGGGGAUCUGCCCGAUAGAGGGGGAUAACUACGGGAAACUGUAGCUAAUACCGCAUAAUGUCUAUGGACCAAAGUGGGGGCUCUUCGGACCUCAUGCUAUUGGAUGAACCCAGGUGGGAUUAGCUAGUUGGUGAGGUAA
Molecule: ribosomal RNA, 263 nt
Filed under: Plesiomonas shigelloides
Lineage: Bacteria; Pseudomonadati; Pseudomonadota; Gammaproteobacteria; Enterobacterales; Enterobacteriaceae
Description: partial 16S ribosomal RNA
Rfam family: Bacterial small subunit ribosomal RNA
Source: RNAcentral